UACGGGGGGGGCAAGCGUUGUUCGGAAUUACUGGGCGUAAAGGGCUCGUAGGCGGCCAACUAAGUCGGAUGUGAAAUCCCCAGGCUUAACCUGGGAACUGCAUCCGAUACUGGAUGGCUUGAAUCCGGGAGAGGGAUGCAGAAUUCCAGGUGUAGCGGUGAAAUGCGUAGAUAUCUGGGGGAACACCGGUGGCGAAGGCGGCAUCCUGGACCGAAACUGACGCUGAGGAGCGAAAGCCAGGGGAGCAAACGGG
RNAcentral lists this ribosomal RNA (253 nucleotides) under uncultured bacterium. Its description in RNAcentral is "partial 16S ribosomal RNA". It matches the Rfam family "Bacterial small subunit ribosomal RNA", at positions 524 to 776 of the family's 1533-position model. The record is from RNAcentral.